UUCAAGCAAACGUUGCAUGAU
Molecule: non-coding RNA, 21 nt
Organism: Caenorhabditis elegans
Lineage: Eukaryota; Metazoa; Nematoda; Chromadorea; Rhabditida; Rhabditidae
Source: Ensembl